AGUUUGAUCAUGGCUCAGAUUGAACGCUGGCGGCAGGCCUAACACAUGCAAGUCGAGCGGUAGCACAGAGAGCUUGCUCUCGGGUGACGAGCGGCGGACGGGUGAGUAAUGUCUGGGAAACUGCCUGAUGGAGGGGGAUAACUACUGGAAACGGUAGCUAAUACCGCAUAAUGUCGCAAGACCAAAGUGGGGGACCUUCGGGCCUCAUGCCAUCAGAUGUGCCCAGAUGGGAUUAGCUAGUAGGUGGGGUAACGGCUCACCUAGGCGACGAUCCCUAGCUGGUCUGAGAGGAUGACCAGCCACACUGGAACUGAGACACGGUCCAGACUCCUACGGGAGGCAGCAGUGGGGAAUAUUGCACAAUGGGCGCAAGCCUGAUGCAGCCAUGCCGCGUGUGUGAAGAAGGCCUUCGGGUUGUAAAGCA
This 424-nucleotide ribosomal RNA is filed under the name Klebsiella pneumoniae. RNAcentral's name for it is "bacterial SSU rRNA". It matches the Rfam family "Bacterial small subunit ribosomal RNA", at positions 10 to 432 of the family's 1533-position model. Lineage: Bacteria; Pseudomonadati; Pseudomonadota; Gammaproteobacteria; Enterobacterales; Enterobacteriaceae. The record is from RNAcentral.